GGCGAACGGGUGAGUAACACGUGGGUAAUCUGCCCUGCACUCUGGGAUAAGCCUUGGAAACGAGGUCUAAUACCGGAUAUCACAACCUUUCGCAUGGAGUAUUGUUGAAAGUUCUGGCGGUGCAGGAUGAACCCGCGGCCUAUCAGCUUGUUGGUGGGGUAGUGGCCUACCAAGGCGACGACGGGUAGCCGGCCUGAGAGGGUGACCGGCCACACUGGGACUGAGACACGGCCCAGACUCCUACGGGAGGCAGCAGUGGGGAAUAUUGCACAAUGGGCGAAAGCCUGAUGCAGCGACGCCGCGUGAGGGAUGACGGCCUUCGGGUUGUAAACCUCUUUCGCCAGGGACGAAGCGCAAGUGACGGUACCUGGAUAAGAAGCACCGGCUAACUACGUGCCAGCAGCCGCGGUAAUACGUAGGGUGCAAGCGUUGUCCGGAUUUAUUGGGCGUAAAGAGCUCGUAGGCGGUUUGUCGCGUCGGCUGUGAAAUCUGGAGGCUUAACCUUCAGCGUGCAGUCGAUACGGGCAGACUUGAGUUCGGUAGGGGAGACUGGAAUUCCUGGUGUAGCGGUGAAAUGCGCAGAUAUCAGGAGGAACACCGGUGGCGAAGGCGGGUCUCUGGGCCGAUACUGACGCUGAGGA
RNAcentral lists this ribosomal RNA (641 nucleotides) under Amycolatopsis sp. I13A-01625. RNAcentral describes it as "bacterial SSU rRNA". It matches the Rfam family "Bacterial small subunit ribosomal RNA", at positions 97 to 752 of the family's 1533-position model. The record is from RNAcentral. Lineage: Bacteria; Bacillati; Actinomycetota; Actinomycetes; Pseudonocardiales; Pseudonocardiaceae.